AAGCUUAGAGUAUUUUCGGGGGGGGGGGGAAUUUCCCGCGUUAGCCAGUGAAAAUGCGUAGAUAUGGGGAGGAACCCCCAAUGGCGAAGGGCAGCCCCCCUGGGAUAUUACUGACGUUCAGGCCACGAAAGCGUGGGUAGCAAACAGGAUUAGAUACCCUGGUAGUCCACGCCCUAAACGAUGUCAACUAGCUGUUGGGCCGGUUACGGCUUAGUAGCGCAGCUAACGCGUGAAGUUGACCGCCUGGGGACUACGGUCGCAAGACUAAAACUCAAAGGAAUUGACGGGGACCCGCACAAGCGGUGGAUGAUGUGGAUUAAUUCGAUGCAACGCGAAAAACCUUACCUACCCUUGACAUGCCCGGAAGCUUCAAGAGAUUGAAGUGUGCUCGCAAGAGAACCGGAGCACAGGUGCUGCAUGGCUGUCGUCAGCUCGUGUCGUGAGAUGUUGGGUUAAGUCCCGCAACGAGCGCAACCCUUGUCAUUAGUUGUUACGCAAGAGCACUCUAAUGAGACUGCCGGUGACAAACCGGAGGAAGGUGGGGAUGACGUCAAGUCCUCAUGGCCCUUAUGGGUAGGGCUUCACACGUCAUACAAUGGUCAGGACAGCGGGUUGCCAAACCGCGAGGUGGAGCUAAUCUCAAAAACCUGAUCGUAGUCCGGAUUGCAGGCUGCAACUCGCCUGCAUGAAGUCGGAAUCGCUAGUAAUCGCAGAUCAGAAUGCUGCGGUGAAUACGUUCCCGGGCCUUGUACUCACCGCCCGUCA
This 765-nucleotide ribosomal RNA is filed under the name uncultured bacterium. RNAcentral describes it as "bacterial SSU rRNA". It matches the Rfam family "Bacterial small subunit ribosomal RNA", at positions 637 to 1399 of the family's 1533-position model. The record is from RNAcentral.